UACGAAGGGGGCUAGCGUUGCUCGGAAUCACUGGGCUUAAAGGGCGCGUAGGCGGGUGCUCAAGUCCGGGGUGAAAUCCUCCAGCUCAACUGGAGAACUGCCUCGGAUACUGGGUGCCUCGAGUGUGGUAGGGGUGUGCGGAACUAUCGGUGGAGCGGUGAAAUGCGUUGAUAUCGAUAGGAACUCCGGUGGCGAAGGCGGCACACUGGACCACAACUGACGCUGAGGCGCGAAAGCCAGGGGAGCAAACGGG
Molecule: ribosomal RNA, 253 nt
Filed under: uncultured bacterium
Lineage: Bacteria
Description: partial 16S ribosomal RNA
Rfam family: Bacterial small subunit ribosomal RNA
Source: RNAcentral